RNAcentral lists this ribosomal RNA (591 nucleotides) under uncultured bacterium. RNAcentral describes it as "bacterial SSU rRNA". It matches the Rfam family "Bacterial small subunit ribosomal RNA", at positions 70 to 660 of the family's 1533-position model. The record is from RNAcentral.
AGAGAGUAGCUUGCUACUUUGCUGACGAGCGGCGGACGGGUGAGUAAUGCUUGGGAACAUGCCUUGAGGUGGGGGACNACAGUUGGAAACGACUGCUAAUACCGCAUAAUGUCUACGGACCAAAGGGGGCUUCGGCUCUCGCCUUUAGAUUGGCCCAAGUGGGAUUAGCUAGUUGGUGAGGUAAUGGCUCACCAAGGCGACGAUCCCUAGCUGGUUUGAGAGGAUGAUCAGCCACACUGGGACUGAGACACGGCCCAGACUCCUACGGGAGGCAGCAGUGGGGAAUAUUGCACAAUGGGCGCAAGCCUGAUGCAGCCAUGCCGCGUGUGUGAAGAAGGCCUUCGGGUUGUAAAGCACUUUCAGUCAGGAGGAAAGGUUAGUAGUUAAUACCUGCUAGCUGUGACGUUACUGACAGAAGAAGCACCGGCUAACUCCGUGCCAGCAGCCGCGGUAAUACGGAGGGUGCGAGCGUUAAUCGGAAUUACUGGGCGUAAAGCGUACGCAGGCGGUUUGUUAAGCGAGAUGUGAAAGCCCUGGGCUCAACCUGGGAACUGCAUUUCGAACUGGCAAACUAGAGUGUGAUAGAAGGGU